UAGAGGAGCGUUCUGUAAGCCUGUGAAGGUGAGUUGAGAAGCUUGCUGGAGGUAUCAGAAGUGCGAAUGCUGACAUGAGUAACGACAAUGGGUGUGAAAAACACCCACGCCGAAAGACCAAGGGUUCCUGCGCAACGUUAAUCGACGCAGGGUUAGUCGGUUCCUAAGGCGAGGCUGAAAAGCGUAGUCGAUGGGAAACAGGUUAAUAUUCCUGUACUUCUGGUUACUGCGAUGGAGGGACGGAGAAGGCUAGGCCAGCUUGGCGUUGGUUGUCCAAGUUUAAGGUGGUAGGCUGAAAUCUUAGGUAAAUCCGGGGUUUCAAGGCCGAGAGCUGAUGACGAGUCGUCUUUUAGAUGACGAAGUGGUUGAUGCCAUGCUUCCAAGAAAAGCUUCUAAGCUUCAGGUAACCAGGAACCGUACCCCAAACCGACACAGGUGGUCGGGUAGAGAAUACCAAGGCGCUUGAGAGAACUCGGGUGAAGGAACUAGGCAAAAUGGCACCGUAACUUCGGGAGAAGGUGCGCCGGCUAGGGUGAAGGAUUUACUCCGUAAGCUCUGGCUGGUCGAAGAUACCAGGCCGCUGCGACUGUUUAUUAAAAACACAGCACUCUGCAAACACGAAAGUGGACGUAUAGGGUGUGACGCCUGCCCGGUGCCGGAAGGUUAAUUGAUGGGGUUAGCGCAAGCGAAGCUCUUGAUCGAAGCCCCGGUAAACGGCGGCCGUAACUAUAACGGUCCUAAGGUAGCGAAAUUCCUUGUCGGGUAAGUUCCGACCUGCACGAAUGGCGUAACGAUGGCGGCGCUGUCUCCACCCGAGACUCAGUGAAAUUGAAAUCGCUGUGAAGAUGCAGUGUAUCCGCGGCUAGACGGAAAGACCCCGUGAACCUUUACUGUAGCUUUGCACUGGACUUUGAGCCUGCUUGUGUAGGAUAGGUGGGAGGCUUUGAAGCGUGGACGCCAGUUCGCGUGGAGCCAUCCUUGAAAUACCACCCUGGCAUGCUUGAGGUUCUAACUCUGGUCCGUGAUCCGGAUCGAGGACAGUGUAUGGUGGGCAGUUUGACUGGGGCGGUCUCCUCCUAAAGAGUAACGGAGGAGUACGAAGGUGCGCUCAGACCGGUCGGAAAUCGGUCGCAGAGUAUAAAGGCAAAAGCGCGCUUGACUGCGAGACAGACACGUCGAGCAGGUACGAAAGUAGGUCUUAGUGAUCCGGUGGUUCUGUAUGGAAGGGCCAUCGCUCAACGGAUAAAAGGUACUCCGGGGAUAACAGGCUGAUACCGCCCAAGAGUUCAUAUCGACGGCGGUGUUUGGCACCUCGAUGUCGGCUCAUCACAUCCUGGGGCUGAAGCCGGUCCCAAGGGUAUGGCUGUUCGCCAUUUAAAGUGGUACGCGAGCUGGGUUUAGAACGUCGUGAGACAGUUCGGUCCCUAUCUGCCGUGGACGUUUGAGAUUUGAGAGGGGCUGCUCCUAGUACGAGAGGACCGGAGUGGACGAACCUCUGGUGUUCCGGUUGUCACGCCAGUGGCAUUGCCGGGUAGCUAUGUUCGGAAAAGAUAACCGCUGAAAGCAUCUAAGCGGGAAACUUGCCUCAAGAUGAGAUCUCACUGGGAACUUGAUUCCCCUGAAGGGCCGUCGAAGACUACGACGUUGAUAGGCUGGGUGUGUAAGCGUUGU
RNAcentral lists this ribosomal RNA (1671 nucleotides) under Pseudomonas aeruginosa. RNAcentral describes it as "bacterial LSU rRNA". It matches the Rfam family "Bacterial large subunit ribosomal RNA", at positions 1229 to 2879 of the family's 2925-position model. The record is from RNAcentral. Lineage: Bacteria; Pseudomonadati; Pseudomonadota; Gammaproteobacteria; Pseudomonadales; Pseudomonadaceae.